UACGGAGGGUGCAAGCGUUACCCGGAAUCACUGGGCGUAAAGGGCGUGUAGGCGGAUCAGCAAGUCUGGCUUUGAAGACCGGGGCUCAACCCCGGGCAUGGGCUGGAUACUGCUGGUCUGGACCUCUGGAGAGGGAACCGGAAUUCCUGGUGUAGCGGUGGAAUGCGUAGAUACCAGGAGGAACACCGAUGGCGAAGGCAGGUUCCUGGACACUGAAUGACGCUGAGGCGCGAAAGUGUGGGGAGCGAACCGG
This 253-nucleotide ribosomal RNA is filed under the name uncultured bacterium. Its description in RNAcentral is "partial 16S ribosomal RNA". It matches the Rfam family "Bacterial small subunit ribosomal RNA", at positions 524 to 776 of the family's 1533-position model. The record is from RNAcentral.